This is a long non-coding RNA of Phragmites australis (common reed), 928 nucleotides long. RefSeq lists it as uncharacterized. NCBI's taxonomy places the organism in Eukaryota, Viridiplantae, Streptophyta, Magnoliopsida, Poales, Poaceae. The transcript is spliced from 4 exons. The record is from RefSeq and is a predicted model, not a curated record.
ACUGGCGCAGACAGGUGUUUAGUACCACCUUGUAGAAUCAUUAGAUUUUAUAAGCUACCUACAAUAAUAUAUACCUUUAGUGUCUAAAUUGUUAUUGUUGCUUUGUUGUUGUAGCAACGCUAGAUGGUAAUAGAAUAUCAUUAGAAUGUGGCCACUUCAGCCAAGAUUACAUCGAUGCUCUAAAAGGAUCGUGACAUGCCGUUUGAUCUUCUCCCAACGUUGCAUCCAAAGUCCAAACAUUGGACAAUCUGUGCGCGUGUCUCACGCAAGUGGGAGUAUCGUGGUGGCACCGACGAUGGACCAAUAGCCCACAUUGACCUUGUUCUUACAGAUGAACAGGGUAAUGCAAUAUAUGUUGAAAUACCAAACUCAGAAAUAGAAAGGAAAGAUCCUUUGCUCCAAGAAGGUGGUAUCUACGUUAUGAGCCGCUUCAAAGUCUCAAAUUCCAAAACCCUGUACAGGCCAGUUGAUGCACCAUAUAUGAUUGAAUUUACUUGCUACACUAAGAUAACUCCAGCGAGAGAUCCACCAGAAACAUUCCCAAGAUAUGUCUACAAACUCACAUCUUUUCUUGAACUACCUCAUUAUACUGGUGAAAACAAGAAUUUCCUGGGUUUGUAUCAUUGCUAACCAUUAUUUACUAACUCUAUAUAAUCAUUCCUUUUAAAGUUCUUCAAAUAACUGCAUGUUGCAUAUUGCAAAUGUGAUUGGCAUCGUCACUGAAGUUUCAGACACAUCUCUCGUACAACUUGCAAAUCGGUCAACUCCUACUGUAAGCAGAGACAUCAUGCUUAAAGACCUAAACAAUGUUGAGGUUAAACUGACACUGUGGGGACAGCGAGCCACGCAGUUUACCAUUGAUGAAAUUUAUAAUGAACAACAAGCUACACCGAUUGUAACUCUUGUUGUUGGCAAUCUCAUGAAAACU